CAUGCAGUCGAGGGGCAGCAGGAUCUAGCAAUAGAUUGCUGGCGACCGGCGCACGGGUGAGUAACACGUAUCCAACCUGCCGAUAACUCGGGGAUAGCCUUUCGAAAGAAAGAUUAAUACACGAUGGUAUAAUCAGACCGCAUGGUCUUGUUAUUAAAGAAUUUCGGUUAUCGAUGGGGAUGCGUUCCAUUAGGCAGUUGGUGAGGUAACGGCUCACCAAACCUUCGAUGGAUAGGGGUUCUGAGAGGAAGGUCCCCCACAUUGGAACUGAGACACGGUCCAAACUCCUACGGGAGGCAGCAGUGAGGAAUAUUGGUCAAUGGGCGCAGGCCUGAACCAGCCAAGUAGCGUGAAGGAUGACUGCCCUAUGGGUUGUAAACUUCUUUUAUACGGGAAUAAAGUUUUCCACGUGUGGAAUUUUGUAUGUACCAUAUGAAUAAGGAUCGGCUAACUCCGUGCCAGCAGCCGCGGUAAUACGGAGGAUCCGAGCGUUAUCCGGAUUUAUUGGGUUUAAAGGGAGCGUAGGUGGACAGUUAAGUCAGUUGUGAAAGUUUGCGGCUCAACCGUAAAAUUGCAGUUGAUACUGGCUGUCUUGAGUACAGUAGAGGUGGGCGGAAUUCGUGGUGUAGCGGUGAAAUGCUUAGAUAUCACGAAGAACUCCGAUUGCGAAGGCAGCUCACUGGACUGCAACUGACACUGAUGCUCGAAAGUGUGGGUAUCAAACAGGAUUAGAUACCCUGGUAGUCCACACAGUAAACGAUGAAUACUCGCUGUUUGCGAUAUACAGUAAGCGGCCAAGCGAAAGCAUUAAGUAUUCCACCUGGGGAGUACGCCGGCACGGUGAAACUCAAAGGAAUUGACGGGGGCCCGCACAAGCGGAGGAACAUGUGGUUUAAUUCGAUGAUACGCGAGGAACCCUUACC
This 923-nucleotide ribosomal RNA is filed under the name uncultured bacterium. RNAcentral's name for it is "bacterial SSU rRNA". It matches the Rfam family "Bacterial small subunit ribosomal RNA", at positions 54 to 975 of the family's 1533-position model. The record is from RNAcentral.